UGAAGAAACUUGCAGUUGGCACUUAUCCUUCACCAUCCAUUCCUAAAAGGGGGUCUUUCAGACUGAGAAGACUGAGAUCAUUGCCAAUACUCAGCCACAUUAUGCUGCCUUUACAGAUAUAACGUGAUCGAUCACUGAUACUGCAAAUAGUCAAGCUACAAUGAACUCCACAAUAUGAUUCUUAGGGCCAAAUGUAUACUUGGACAACGAUUUGAUUACUCAACUCUCCAGUAAGACAAGCAGUGUAGGUAGAGUAUAAAAAGGAGAUUAAAAAUUUCUGAACUUUAAUGACUCUCAGCGCCAAGGUGCCAACAAUGCUAUAAAUGUUACUGGUCUCUGUAUUUCCUGUGACCCAAAUGCCACUGCUACUGCUUAAGGCUUGAUCAGGAUGGUUGCUGUCAAACAAAAUGUGUUGAUCCUUGAAACAGGAGGCAGCACUUUUGAUGUAUCCAUCCUCACUUGUGAAGAUGGU
Molecule: long non-coding RNA, 472 nt
Filed under: Homo sapiens (human)
Lineage: Eukaryota; Metazoa; Chordata; Mammalia; Primates; Hominidae
Description: non-protein coding lnc-SPIDR-6:1
Source: RNAcentral